Molecule: ribosomal RNA, 376 nt
Filed under: uncultured organism
Description: partial 16S ribosomal RNA
Rfam family: Bacterial small subunit ribosomal RNA
Source: RNAcentral
GUAGGUGGCAAGCGUUGUCCGGAAUUAUUGGGGGCGUAAAGCGCGCGCAGGCGGUUCUUUAAGUCUGAUGUGAAAGCCCACGGGCUCAACCGUGGAGGGUCAUUGGAAACUGGAGAACUUGAGUACAGAAGAGGAAAGCGGAAUUCCACGUGUAGCGGUGAAAUGCGUAGAGAUGUGGAGGAACACCAGUGGCGAAGGCGGCUUUCUGGUCUGUAACUGACGCUGAGGCGCGAAAGCGUGGGGAGCAAACAGGAUUAGAUACCCUGGUAGUCCACGCCGUAAACGAUGAGUGCUAAGUGUUAGGGGGUUUCCGCCCCUUAGUGCUGCAGCUAACGCAUUAAGCACUCCGCCUGGGGAGUACGGCCGCAAAGGCUGA